Nerophis ophidion (straightnose pipefish) is the source of this 451-nucleotide long non-coding RNA. RefSeq lists it as uncharacterized. The record is from RefSeq and is a predicted model, not a curated record. Lineage: Eukaryota; Metazoa; Chordata; Actinopteri; Syngnathiformes; Syngnathidae. The transcript has 3 exons.
CCUUUAAUAAGAGUCGUAGUACUGGCGGAAUCCAGCAGAGGGCGCUUUGCGCAUGGAUACUGAAGACACCUGACUUCCUGCUUGCGGUCAUUACAGAACGAGGUCAUGUCUACUCAAAACAUCUCUCUUCUCAGGUUGCUUGGUCCUGGUCCAGGAGCGGCAACUCUCUUGAGUUAGCCUGAAACGCCGACGGCAACCAAAGAGCUGACGUGUGGUGGUCCCCCCCCCCCCCCCCCACACCCCUCCCUCUCUAAGGCAGCUGAACAACUCGAGGUAUGUUUAAGAAGCGAGGUGAUGUGCCACAUCCCAAGAGCUGGCACGGAACGGAAAGCCACAACCACCACCUGCAACGGUUCCCCGAAAAAAGAAACGCUGCGAGCCAAAAAAGACGACUUGGCGGUUUCGGUGUGCAGGAGGAGGAGGAGGAGGACGAAGACCCCGCUCAGUGACC